AGCAUUAGUAGCUCAGUGGUUAACAUAUGGGCCUAACAAUCAGAAGGUUGUGAGUUCAAAUCCCAGUGGUGCUG
This is a non-coding RNA of Pangasianodon gigas (Mekong giant catfish), 74 nucleotides long. The record is from the annotation of a GenBank genome assembly. NCBI's taxonomy places the organism in Eukaryota, Metazoa, Chordata, Actinopteri, Siluriformes, Pangasiidae.